UAAGUAUCCCGCCUGGGGACUACGGCCGCAAGGUUAAACUCAAAGGUAUUGACGGGGGCCCGCACAAGCAGCGGAGCGUGUGGUUUUAUUCGAUGAUACGCGAAGUACCUUACCUGGGCUGUACUACGUGGUAGUAGUGAAGCUAAAGCGGAUCGACCCUUCGGGGAGCCUCGAUAGGUGCUGCAUGCCUGUCGUCAGCUCGUGUCGUGAGAUGUUGGGUUAAGUCCCGCAACGAGCGCUACCCUCGUCGCUAGUUACAAGUGUCUAGCGAGUCUGCCGGUAUCUAACCGGAGGAAGGUGGGGAUGACGUCAAGUCAGCAUGGUCUUUAUGUCCAGGGCUACACACACGCUACAAUGGUCGGUACAAUAGGUUGCCACACCGCGAGGUGGAGCUAAUCCUCAAAGCCGAUCUCAGUUCGGAUUGUAGUCUGCAACUCGACUACAUGAAGGCGGAGUUGCUAGUAACCGCGCGUCAGCAUAGUACGGUGAUGCGUUCCCGGGCAUUGUACACACCGCCCGUCACAUCAUGGGAGU
RNAcentral lists this ribosomal RNA (534 nucleotides) under uncultured organism. Its description in RNAcentral is "bacterial SSU rRNA". It matches the Rfam family "Bacterial small subunit ribosomal RNA", at positions 861 to 1411 of the family's 1533-position model. The record is from RNAcentral.